Molecule: long non-coding RNA, 93 nt
Organism: Etheostoma cragini (Arkansas darter)
Lineage: Eukaryota; Metazoa; Chordata; Actinopteri; Perciformes; Percidae
Exons: 3
Source: RefSeq, a predicted model, not a curated record
UUUACUUGAGCGUGAAUGUAGACCUUUUCACAGUUGUAAACAAACAUUCUAAAUGGACCCGAGUUGAUUUCCUGUUGCAGUGUAUGAAUGGCA